RNAcentral lists this ribosomal RNA (458 nucleotides) under uncultured bacterium. Its description in RNAcentral is "partial 16S ribosomal RNA". It matches the Rfam family "Bacterial small subunit ribosomal RNA", at positions 338 to 795 of the family's 1533-position model. The record is from RNAcentral.
CCUACGGGAGACUGCAGUGAGGAAUAUUGGUCAAUGGGCGAGAGCCUGAACCAGCCAAGUCGCGUGAGGGAGUACUGCCCUAUGGGUUGUAAACCUCUUUUGUCGGGGAGCAAAAGCCGGACGUGUCCGGCUGUGAGAGUACCCGAAGAAAAAGCAUCGGCUAACUCCGUGCCAGCAGCCGCGGUAAUACGGAGGAUGCGAGCGUUAUCCGGAUUUAUUGGGGUUAAGGGGUGCGCAGGCGGAUUUUUAAGUUAGCGGUAAAAUCGUGGGGCUCAACCCCGUCCAGCCGUUGAAACUGGGGAUCUAGAGUGUGCGAGAGGUAUGCGGAAUGCGUGGUGUAGCGGUGAAAUGCAUAGAUAUCACGCAGAACACCGAUUGCGAAGGCAGCAUACCGGUGCACAACUGACGCUCAGGCACGAAAGCGUGGGUAUCGAACAGGAUUAGAUACCCUGGUAGUC